Molecule: ribosomal RNA, 253 nt
Filed under: uncultured bacterium
Lineage: Bacteria
Description: partial 16S ribosomal RNA
Rfam family: Bacterial small subunit ribosomal RNA
Source: RNAcentral
UACGAAGGAUGCAAGCGUUAUCCGGAUUCACUGGGUUUAAAGGGUGCGUAGGUGGGUUGGUAAGUCAGUGGUGAAAUCCCCGAGCUUAACUUGGGAACUGCCAUUGAUACUAUCAGUCUUGAAUACCGUGGAGGUUAGCGGAAUAUGUCAUGUAGCGGUGAAAUGCUUAGAUAUGACAUAGAACACCAAUUGCGAAGGCAGCUGGCUACACGAAUAUUGACACUGAGGCACGAAAGCGUGGGGAUCAAACAGG